This 370-nucleotide ribosomal RNA is filed under the name Statilia maculata. Its description in RNAcentral is "partial 12S ribosomal RNA". The record is from RNAcentral. Lineage: Eukaryota; Metazoa; Arthropoda; Insecta; Mantodea; Mantidae.
AUACCCUAUUAUUUUUAUUGUAAAAUUCUAAGCUAGAGUAUUAGUAGAUACGGUCUUGAAACUUAAAGAAUUUGGCGGUAUUAUAGUCUAUUUAGAGGAAUCUGUUAUGUAAUCGAUAGUCCACGUUGAACCUUACUUAUUUAAUUUCUUGUAUACCGCUGUUUAUGAAUAUAUUUUUAGGUUAUUUUCAAGAUAUAAUAAUAAUUAAUAUUUCAAGUCAAGGUGCAGUAAUAUAUAAGUUGAAUAAUGGAUUACAAUAAGUUUUAUUUAUACGGAUUAUUAUUGAAAUAUAGUUUGAAGGUGGAUUUAAUUGUAAUUUUAUAAAGAUUAAUAAAAUGAUUUAUAGCUCUAUAAUAUGUACACAUCGCCC